CAAUAGCGUAUAUUAAAGUUGUUGCAGUUAAAAGCUCGUAGUUGGAUUUCUGGGAGGGUGCCAAUGUCCGUCGUCGUACGUGUUGCAGCGGCGCCCUUCCAUCCUUCUGUUAACGACUUUGGGCAUUCACUUGCCGGAGUCGGGCUCAGAUAUUUUACCUUGAGAAAAUUAGAGUGUUUCAGGCAGGCUAGGCCGGAAUACAUUAGCAUGGAAUAAUAGAAAAGGACCUCGGUUCUAUUUUGUUGGUUUCCGGAACUUGAGGUAAUGAUUAAGAGGGACAGACGGGGGCAUUCGUAUUACGGUGUUAGAGGUGAAAUUCUUGGAUCGCCGUAAGACGAACUACUGCGAAAGCAUUUGCCAAGAAUGUUUUCAUUAAUCAAGAACGAAAGUCAGAGGUUCGAAGACGAUUAGAUAUCAU
Molecule: ribosomal RNA, 418 nt
Filed under: uncultured eukaryote
Lineage: Eukaryota
Description: bacterial SSU rRNA
Rfam family: Eukaryotic small subunit ribosomal RNA
Source: RNAcentral